Molecule: long non-coding RNA, 165 nt
Organism: Lolium rigidum
Lineage: Eukaryota; Viridiplantae; Streptophyta; Magnoliopsida; Poales; Poaceae
Exons: 3
Source: RefSeq, a predicted model, not a curated record
UUUCUUGGUAAUACUGACACUGUGGUUGAUGUAAUGCCUAGCUUGCUAGAUGUUCUCCGGUCAUGCAGCCAUUCAGGGGAAGCAAAACGGUGGAGACUGGAGACUGACGUCAUCAGCAUCGGUAUGAAAGCUUACAUAUAUUGGUGAAGGGAUAUAUGGUACAAG